UAUCUGGUUGAUCCUGCCAGUAGUUAUAUGCUUGUCUCAAAGAUUAAGCCAUGCAUGUGUGUGUAUAAGCUUCUGCAUGGUGAACCUGCGAAUGGCUCAAUAACUCAGUUGCUGACAAUGUAGGCAUCGUUUUCUACAUGGAUAUCAGCGGUAAUUCUGGAGCUAAUACACGACCAGCAACCUGCCGCAACGAAUGGUUGUCGUUAUCAGUGAUAUACCGUCAUCGGACCUCUCCGAUAUUGAUUUAGCGAUGAUAAUCCAAUUGAUCGUUCUGCGUCUUGCAUACGACACACUACUUGUGCUUCUGACCUAUCAGUUUCUGACGGUAGGGCAUUUGCCUACAGUUGCAUUGACGGGUGACGGAGGAUUAGGGUUCAAUUCCGGAGAGGGAGCGCGAGAAACGGCUACCACAUCUAAGGAAUGCAGCAGGCGCGCAAAUUACCCAAUCCUAAUGCAGGGAGGUAGUGACAAUAAAUAACAAUACAGGGCAAUUCUGCUUGUAGUUGGAAUGAAACAGAUCUAACACAUCUGCCAAGGAUCGAUUGGAGGGCAAGUCUGGUGCCAGCAGCCGCGGUAACUCCAGCUCCAAUAGUGUAUGGUAAAGUUGCUGUGGGUAAACUGCUCGUAAUUGUGUUCUGUUCGGUCGGGCGGUCCGCCAUGGGGUGUGCAUCAAUCGUCUGUGCACAGGCGUUGACACUGCUGCCCAUUUUCUGUGCAGCUUGGCGUGUCCAAAUUGGUUAC
This 741-nucleotide ribosomal RNA is filed under the name uncultured marine eukaryote. RNAcentral's name for it is "bacterial SSU rRNA". It matches the Rfam family "Eukaryotic small subunit ribosomal RNA", at positions 1 to 755 of the family's 1831-position model. The record is from RNAcentral.